UCCAGGGUAGCCUAGUGGACAUGGCAUCUGCCCAGUAAGCGGAACACUGUGGGUUCGAUUCCCAUCCCUAGUC
Non-coding RNA from Cordylochernes scorpioides, 73 nucleotides. The record is from the annotation of a GenBank genome assembly. NCBI's taxonomy places the organism in Eukaryota, Metazoa, Arthropoda, Arachnida, Pseudoscorpiones, Chernetidae.